RNAcentral lists this unclassified non-coding RNA (2358 nucleotides) under Hevea brasiliensis (rubber tree). Lineage: Eukaryota; Viridiplantae; Streptophyta; Magnoliopsida; Malpighiales; Euphorbiaceae. The record is from RNAcentral.
CGAAAAUAGAGGUGAGUUUUGCAUCUUUUAUGCAUGAGUCCACUUCUGUGUUGCAAUUUAUGUAAAUUUUUAUUCUAAUUGCAAUGUAUCUGACCUACUAACCUGAGUUCUGGCAAAAUUGUUUGUCUUUUAAGAGCUUACAUGUUUACUCCAUGAGAAUAACUUAGGUGCAUUGGUAGCUUCAAAACCAUAGCUUGGUGAUCUUGGCCUGGUGUCUCUUUGUCCUGUUUCUAAAAUCCCUGAAAUGAGCAAACUUUGGAACAAUUAGUAAGCUAGAUUGCCCAAGUUUCCUGUUUGCAAGAAUUGAAGGCACCUUACUUUCAAGGUUGUUUCUUGAAGUUCUUGCACUUGAUUGGCUUUUGAGAAACCCCCAUAAUUUUUUUUUUUGUUUACCUUUGUUUUAUAUGGCGUUUAUGACUUUUAUAAUUUGCAUAGAAUUUUAUUUUCCAUAGUAUUGGCCUAACAUUUGAUUUUCUCUUAUAUUCAUUUGAUUCACUAUUAAAAAACCCUAUAUAUAUAGUUUAUGUUUCUUUUAUGUGGCAUUACAUUUCCAGUUUAUAUAGUAUUUUAUUUUGCAUAAUAUUGGUCUAACAUUUGAUGGUCUUCAUUUUCCAGAUGACCAAUUUGAUCAUGUAGGUUCCAUUCUUGUAAAUAUAUCACAGAAAGAAGCAGGUAGGAAAAUGUUACUGGACCCUAAGCGAGGAUUGCUGAAGCAGAUUCUCAGACAAUUUGACUCAACUAAUCCAUUGCGGAAGAAAGGGGUAUGCAUAAGUUAAAAACUCGAGUUCUAAGCUUCUUUAGAGAGCUCUUGAAUUCACUUGAUGGUUGCAUCUGUUUGUGUGAACAGAAUAUUUCUUUUGGACUUUCAUGAGUAGCACUUGUUUAUGUGAGUGGAAAAGCUAAGGGGUGGAGUUUGUGGGCAAUUGCUGAAACUUGCACAUCAUUUUGCGUGCGGUCUGCUAUUGUAGUUGUGCUUUUAAUUGUUGCGAAGUUCCCUAUAUUUGAAUUCUGUUACUUUGCCAAACAUGGAUAUACUCAAAGACAAAACAGCUGGGCAUGAGAUGUUUUCAUUCAUGGAUGUCUGGCCAAACCAAUCUUCUGCAAAUAUUUUGAAGUGACAUGAGUGUUGUGUGUAUAAAGUUCAGAAUAACUCUUUCCUUGUUUAAAAUGUGCUAACUCUUCUUGAGGACUCAAGGUUGGUCCAUAAAUUCGUUGCAUGCCAAGCAGACAUUGCAAGAUUAAUAGUACUGUAGCUUGCACAUUUCUGUUGCUACUUCCUUUUGGCACGUCAUUAUCUUUUCUCAUUGUUUGAAUUCUAUUUUUUACCUCUCAGGUAAAAAACAGAUACUGUAGAAAUUUUUUAGUAGGACUUUUUUAGGAGUGAGCUGUUUAAGAGUUUUUGAGUGAGCUUUGCUUGGCAUGGCAUGGCAUGGCUUUGAGUGAGUUUUUGAGUUUCUGAGGCUUGGCGGAUCAUAUGCAUGACGAGCAAAAUGAACAAAGCCAAGCUUGACUAACCCCAUUGCUUAGCUUUCCAGGUAAUUAGUGGGAUUACAUUUUGAUUACAGGUUUCUGGAACGAUUCGCAACUGCUGUUUUGAAGCUGAGAAUCAGCUACAAGAUUUACUUUUGACAUCUGAAUUUCUUUGGCCAGCUCUACUUCUGCCUGUUGCUGGCAAAAAGAUAUACAGUGAACAAGAUACAUCAAAAAUGCCUCUUGAGCUUGGCAGCGCACUCUCAAUUGAGCGUGAACCAUGUGAUGACCCUGAAAUUCGUGUUCAAGCAUUGGAGUCUAUUUACUUGAUCACAUUACAGGAGGCUGGUCUAAGAGCCUUUUGGUCUGUCAAUGGACCUCGUAUACUACAAGUUGGGUAUGAAGAUGAGCAGGAUCCUAAAGUAAUGGAAGCAUAUGAACAAGUUGGCUCCUUGCUCGUUCAUGAAAGUGGGACAGCGGUGUCCUCCAAUGAAACCUCAUACUCAUAGUAGCAAUGCUUUGAUACAAUAUUGUUUCCAAAUCAGAUAACAUUUCAAUUUUUAAGAAGCUGAAAUUUUCAUUGUCAAGAUCAAGAACUCAAGCAACAUUUUGGCCAAUUGUUGUGCUGUAGGUACAUGGGAUCAUGCCUACAAUUUAUCAGAGAAUGGUUUCUGGUGUUUUGUAAUGUAUGAUUUUGUCAGUAAUCUAGAUUAUCAAGUAAAAGAAUAUAAGGAAAGUAGCCACUUAGUCUUGGCUUUAGGAAGAACUUUUGAACCAAUGUGAUCUUUAUUUACAAGUGUGGUACUGUUGUCCUUUUUACUCACUGUCAUCUCAGUGUAACUGUGUAUGUGAACUUUAUACAUUUUUUAUUAUCGGCUUUGGCAUUGC